UGCCAGCCGCCGCGGUAAUACAGAGGGAGCAAGCGUUGUUCGGAAUUACUGGGCGUAAAGGGCGCGUAGGCGGCCCAGCAAGUCUUAUGUGAAAUCCCCCGGCUCAACUGGGGAACUGCAUAGGAAACUGCUGGGCUUGAGUUCGGGAGAGGGAAGCGGAAUUCCGGGUGUAGCGGUGAAAUGCGUAGAUAUCCGGAGGAACACCGGUGGCGAAGGCGGUCUUCUAGCUUAUUCCUGACACUGAGGCGCGAAAGCAAGGGGAGCAAACAGGAUUAGAUA
RNAcentral lists this ribosomal RNA (279 nucleotides) under uncultured bacterium. Its description in RNAcentral is "partial 16S ribosomal RNA". It matches the Rfam family "Bacterial small subunit ribosomal RNA", at positions 506 to 784 of the family's 1533-position model. The record is from RNAcentral.